Molecule: non-coding RNA, 3221 nt
Organism: Anas platyrhynchos (mallard)
Lineage: Eukaryota; Metazoa; Chordata; Aves; Anseriformes; Anatidae
Source: RefSeq, a predicted model, not a curated record
AGGCCCCCGCGGCUCUCCUUUCUGCUGCUUUUGUUGAAUAUUUGUGAUGUCUCCUCUUGUUUAACUAAAACAAGAAAACAGAGCAAAGCACAGUGCCCCAGGCAGAGCUGCCUCAUGUUUCUGCUCUCCACAAACUCACAUUCCUACCACCUGCCAGGCAGGCUGUUAGUUGAAACAGGACUUCCAUAAACAACCUAAUUCUUCCUGGAAACUUGGAAGCUGUUUUUGGCUUGGAUGUUUUUUGCCUAAUUACUGAGUUAUUUAUUUUGCUUUUUCUUGAAGGUUUAAAUUUCAUUUUCUUGCUGUUUUAUGUAAUGUAAAGGCAGGCGAUCAUUCUCUGCAGAGGCUGAGGAAGAUGGCAUCUGGUUUAUGUUAGUAACAUGAAUUACAGAAGAGCGCAUGUUUGAUGUAAACCAUGGCUUUGCCUUUACUGUAUGUGUCAGUGCCAGAAUCCAGCAGCCUCGGCUGCUCGGAGGGGCAGGGGAGAGGCUUGCUCUGUCUGGGUGUUUUCAAAGUGUCCUGAAUAUGAUAAAAGCUCCCAGCAGCCCUCCUGGGGACCAGUGCGUUGUUCACAAGCUGCACAGCAGAGACAUGCGAGGUAAAUAGCUGUUGAGGAAGCCUUCCAUCUAUACACAGAGUUUCUACCCGUGGUUCAGGGACUGGAAGAUAAAGAGCUGCUGGUCUUGCUGCAGUUUGUGUGCUUCUCAAAUGUUUCAGGGAAACAUUGGUGAGGGGGGGCAGAGGAGCAGAGUGUUGCCAAAGGUGCCCCAGGGCCUGGGGACCCUCCUGGUGGUCCCACCCUUCUGUAUUUGCCUGUGUUGCUUUUGCGAAGCCUCCUCAGCAGAAGGGUCCCAGAGUGACCAAACCCUUGAGAGUGUUUAGAUCAGGUUAUUCACCCAUGUUGACUUAACUGGGGUAGUUCUGCUGAUAUGAGCUUUUGGCUGAAACCCAGUGGGCAGGGGAAAUAAUCCUCCUUGGAACCCCCCCCAAACCCCCCUUCUCGGGUGAGCUCAGGUGCCAUCGCUGUGCUCUGUUCUCUGACCUCAAACCAAGAAUAACUGUUAGGUAGCUUUAAAUAGCCAUCAGUUUGCUUCUUAAUUACCUUCCCGUGGGGCAAAAGCUUUCCAAAUCCAUCUGUCUUUUUCCCGGCCCGCUCACAAACCUCUCCAGUGCCGGGUUUCGGCUGAGCUCUGCAGGACUGCUGCCAGUUUCACUGGGACUUUCUGUAAAUAAGGUGUCCAGACACGGAUACUUCAGCACUGAGUGUGCUGUAGUCAGGGAAACGGUGACAACAGCUUUCCCUUUAACUCCAGCCGCUGUCUCCUUAAAUGUCUCUCUUUGUUGUGUGCUGACCUGAAAAUGUAAAUAUUUGCUAUUCCCCUGUGCCCUGAUCCCUUCUCGCAGGCACAGCUCCCAUAUUACCCCUCUGGUUCUGCACGGCAGGGGUGCUUUUCCAGGGACACUGACCCUGGGAUCUGGGCAUGUUUGACUGCAAGCCCCGCUUCAUUGUCAUGAUUUUCCCAUGCAGUAGGAACCUCUCCACAAGGACAAAGCACAAAGCACGAUGCACAGAGUCACUUUGAAACACUGAAGGGGACCGGUUCCUACCCUGUGCAGUGGGAGAGGAGGGAGAGAGGCUUGGGGGGAACCCUCGUGCUGCUUCCUGGGGCACUGGGUUGUUGUUCAUCCUGCACAGGCAUUGACUCCUCAUCCUCUGCUGACUUAGGAGUGAUGGUGGGAGCGCAGCGGCAGGCAGGUGCCUGUCCGUUUGCAGUUUGGGCUGUCGCAGCAGGCUGCCACGCUGGCCGUGUCCAGAGCUUUCUGCAAGCAGACCUAGAUGGCACGGGCUCGUCUCAUCACCCCUGGUGGUUAUUCCACCUAAAUGAAAAAUCAGCUGCAUGCAAUCGGAGCUGCCUCUCCUCAAAGGGAUGGCUCUCAUGCUGCCCAACGUCCUCUAAGCCCUCUGUAACUGCACCUCUGAGUGCCCCCUGUGGAGCUGCAACUCCGUGCCAGCAGCAGCGUGUCACCUGAGAAAUGUCCCAGUGACCAUCCUGGUGGUUUCACACAGCGCUGGGUUUUCAGGUCGGUGUUACUGAUCUCAGCUCUGCUCAUCUUUGUCUGGUGCAAAGAAACAACUUCCUGCAGUUCCUCUCUGCUGUCUUUUUAAUGGCCGCGCUAACUUUGUCUUUUUCCUGAAUCUCCAGUAAAACUUAAAAACGCUACUGUUCACCUCCAGCAUCCCUCGGUUUAUUUGUUGCUGUGCUUCUGGUUUUGCUCUUCGAGUGCCUGCUUGGAUUUCCCUGCUUCCUGCGAAACUUGGACAACGCCGCGCUGCUCCCCGGAGCUGCCUUUGUUCUCGGUCCUCGCGCUGCGUGUCCGUGCAGCCCUGCCUUCCCUGCUGCAGGAGCUCCCUUCCUCUGCUCAGGAGCACGUGCUUUGGGUUGUGCCUGCAGGCGCUAAGCUGCUGAGCGGGGAAGGCAGCAGGACGGUCAGACCUCGUGUUGGUUUAGUCCUCUGUUGGCCCCUACAGCAUUCAAAAACUCAGUGUAAGAUGUAAGUUGAGUUAUUGGCCUUUAUUUGGGUUUGCUUGAAUGCCUCUAUUCAUAACCCCAGUGCAGUCAGAGGGCUGUGCCUUACCCACCUAUAUUAAAUUGCUGCUGGGUGCAGCACUGUCUUGAGAGAGAGCCGUUUCUUGUGUCGUGGCUGCUUGGAAAUAAUUCUCCAUUGUGUGUGCUGCUCCUGGGCUGCGUGGUGCCCGCCGUAGGUCAAGUCCCCUUCCUCUCCCUGCGGGACAGGGAGCGGUAACAAAUGCUGUGCUCAGGUGGGGAUUGCCCCAUGUUGUGUGUCCUAGGAGAGAUUUGGGGCUCAUGAAAGUUUCCUGUGGGCUCCACUGCAGCUCUGUGGGAUUUGCAGUUGCUCGGGGGAACUUCAGAAACCCCUUGUUUCACCCCUGCCCUGGGCUCUGUUCCAGGCACCCGCCGGCCGCUCCACAGCCCGACUGGGAAGUCACUGCCAGGAGAGGUUUCCUGUACCGGGUUUCUGGAGCUUUCUUCUAAAGAGGUGAAAAAACAGCAAUAAAACCCGGUGGUGUAUUCUCUGAGCAUUUUGCUCAUGGCGAUUUACAUUGCUCAGCCAACAGACUUAAUGCAGAUGAGAUUUCCAUGUCGGAUAUGGGUUUUAAUAUAUAAAUAAAUAAAUGUGUUGCCAGGUUCAGUAACAAA